This 75-nucleotide transfer RNA is filed under the name Peptostreptococcaceae bacterium. RNAcentral's name for it is "tRNA-Glu". It matches the Rfam family "tRNA". From Rfam's summary of the family: Transfer RNA (tRNA) molecules are approximately 80 nucleotides in length. Their secondary structure includes four short double-helical elements and three loops (D, anti-codon, and T loops). The record is from RNAcentral. Lineage: Bacteria; Bacillati; Bacillota; Clostridia; Peptostreptococcales; Peptostreptococcaceae.
GUCGCCUUGGUCAAGGGGUUAAGACGCAGCCCUCUCAAGGCUGAGUCAGGGGUUCAAUUCCCCUAGGCGGUACCA